ACAUCUCUAGGAAUGUUGCACUACAGUUCUGGUACACCUCUGCUUGUCGCUGAGCUAGGCUAUCCUGAUUGCUUUCAACCCGGUCAAAACCCUGUUGAACUCUAGUAGCCACCAUGUCAAUCCUUCUAGUUUGAUUUCUUAAUUCUCGGCGAAUAUCUUCAAAAAAAAUUGGUGGUGGCCCAGAACUUCCAGCUGCAGGAGGAUUGUCAUGGGAUUGUUGAUUAGGCUCGGUUGCAGACUCGGGAGGCACAAUAAUGAACCCUAACCCUCUCGGGUGUGGUGUACCCCCACCCCAUACCUUGUACUUCUUAAUAAGCGAGUGGUCAAUCGCAGCUAAGGGAGGUUGUCUAGCUUCUUCGGCAUCCCAUUUGACUCCAGCUUGUUGACAUAGUCCAG
RNAcentral lists this long non-coding RNA (396 nucleotides) under Panax ginseng (ginseng). RNAcentral describes it as "long non-coding RNA (PGIN_LNC007391)". The record is from RNAcentral. Lineage: Eukaryota; Viridiplantae; Streptophyta; Magnoliopsida; Apiales; Araliaceae.